ACCAGAACAAGUACAAUGGGAAAAUACAAAACAACUCUAGCACCCUGCUAUAUAUAAAACUCCCAUACUUACUCAGCUAAGCACAAGUAAGUCUAUUUGUAUCCUAUUCUGUACAAGUAGUAUUUAUUUCUAUCCCCUAUCUAGCUAUAUACUUUUUCUAUCCAUCUUCUAUCCUUGUCCCGCUUCCGUUUGUUGAUUAUCUCCAUCACAUGAACUUUGCAUUCCUUUUUGAUUUGAUCACAUAACCUGCUUGGUCUAGGCAUUGAAAGGCUUCGUUUCUCCCCUUCCAUAUGUGGUAGUUCAAUGCUGCUAAUACAACAAAGGAGAACUCCCUUCUUAGUUUACUUCCCAUUUUCCCGCCUACUCUUUUCCAUAGAUGUUGUCCUUCAUUGUUUGUGAUUCUUAUCUUUAACCACUGAAGAACUUCAGUGAUACACAAUUUAGAAAAUUGGCACUAAUAGAAUAAGUGUUCAAUUGAUUCUGGGGCAUUUCCACAUAAUAUACAUAAGCCAUCUGAACUGAUCCCUAUGUGAGCUAGCCUAUCCUUUGUGAGCAGCUUCCUUUGCAUAAUCAGCCAGCAAAUGAAGCUAUAUUUUGGAAUAUUUUGCUUAUUCCAAACUCAUCUUCCCCAAUAGCAUUUGUCCAGAUUUCCUUUCAACCAUGAGUACCCUUUCAUGAUUGUAUAUCUACCUGUUUGCGAUUGCCAUCCACCCUGAUUAUAUCCCCAUGCAAGCUUGUCUCCUAUAUGGCAAUUUUUUUUCCAAUAUCAGCUACUAUCUUGUGGUACACUGUAUAGCUACCAAUCAGUGUUCUUUAAGUAUAUAUGAUUGAUCCAUUUGACACACAAAGAAUCAGCCUUUGUCGUUAUAUCCCAAACAUAUUUCCCUAUUGCUGCCUCAUUCCAUGCUAUACAGUCCUUUAUUCCUAUCCCUCCCUAUUGACUUGGCCUACAAACAAGAUCCCAGGCCAUUAAUGGUCUUCUGUUUGUUUUCAUCUUUCCAUCCCAUAGAUAAUUACAACAUAUUGCUGUUAUUUUUUUGAGCAUUGCUUUGAGAAGUAGAAAAAUCGAUGCCCAGUACGUGUGGAGAUGCAUCAACACUGCAUUAAUCAUCUGCACUCUCCCGACAUAAGAUAGGUGCUUUGAACCCCAACUCAUUAUUCUAGUUAUUAUUUUAUCUACUAGUACUUAACAAUCCAUUUUUGGUAGCUUCUUCGAUGAUAUUGAGAUACCUAGGUACUUGAAGGGAAGACUGCCUCUACUAUAGCCAGUUAUUUCACAUAAGCUCUCUAUCUCUUGAGUCUUCAUAUUAACAGCAUAUAUGUUGGACUUUCCUGCAUUAGUUGUUAGCCCUGACGAGUUGGACAAGGUUUGAAGCCCUCUUAUCAUCAACAUAACAGAAUUGAAUUCUCCUUUGCAAAAUAGUAACACACCAUCUGCAAAGCAUAAAUGGUUGAGUUGCAAACUUCUGCACUUAGUAUGGUAGCCAAAACUUUCCUGUUGGGCCACUAACUUCAUAAUUCUUGUGAAGUACUCCAUGCAUAUAACAAACAGUAAAGGGGAGAUGAGGUCCCCUUGUCUCAAGCCUCUCUUCCCUCUUAUGCUCCCAUAUAGCCCUCCAUUAAUAGCCAAAGUAUAUUGAGUAGUUGAUAUACAUUCCAUGAUCCACCUUAUGAAGUUCAUAGGGAAAUUUAGAGCAUGUAAUAUUUCCUCUACAAAUUCCCAUUCUAUGGAAUCAUACACCUUUUUAAGGUCUAUUUUUAUCAAGCAACUCCUAGUCGCUGCUUUCCUAUUAUAUAAUCUGACAAGAUCUUGACAAAUCAAUAUAUUUUGCAGGAUUGUUCGUCCAGCUGCAAACGCACUCUGGUUAUCAGAGAGAAUGCUUGGCAGGAUGACUUUAAGUCACUGCAUAGCAUUUUUGAGAUGAUCUUAUAUAUUGUGUUACAGCAGGCUAUAGGUCUAUAAUCCCCAACUGCUUCUGUAUGGCUACUCUUAAGGAUCACUGUAAUAACUGUGCUAUUGACUGCCUUCAGCAUCUUCUCUGAUCUAAAGAACUCAAGUACUCCCUCCUCAAGAUCUGUUCUUAUAAUGUCCCAACUAUCUUUGAAGAAUUUGCUGCCAUAUCCAUUCAGGACCCGAGGCUUUUUCCCAAUCAAUUUGCCAAAGAGCCUGUUUGAUCUCCUUUUUAGUAAAGUCAUAGCCACUUUUGAUUAUGUUAUUUAAGGCAUAGCCACAUUUUACGAGGUAUUUAAUGUGUAGCCACCGUACUACUGCCUUCUUCUGCCGCACUUGAUAUAUACGAAGUAGUGGCUUCUAAUUAGGACGUUAAAUUUUACCAUUCGGCAGUACAUCUUGUUUAAUUAUACACAAGCAUAACAUCUUAUUUUAUUGAAUCUUUCUGUCA
RNAcentral lists this long non-coding RNA (2402 nucleotides) under Nicotiana tabacum (common tobacco). RNAcentral describes it as "long non-coding RNA (NTAB_LNC000626)". The record is from RNAcentral. Lineage: Eukaryota; Viridiplantae; Streptophyta; Magnoliopsida; Solanales; Solanaceae.